AUUGAACGCUGGCGGCAGGCCUAACACAUGCAAGUCGAGCGGAUGAGUGGAGCUUGCUCCAUGAUUCAGCGGCGGACGGGUGAGUAAUGCCUAGGAAUCUGCCUGGUAGUGGGGGACAACGUUUCGAAAGGAACGCUAAUACCGCAUACGUCCUACGGGAGAAAGUGGGGGAUCUUCGGACCUCACGCUAUCAGAUGAGCCUAGGUCGGAUUAGCUAGUUGGUGAGGUAAAGGCUCACCAAGGCGACGAUCCGUAACUGGUCUGAGAGGAUGAUCAGUCACACUGGAACUGAGACACGGUCCAGACUCCUACGGGAGGCAGCAGUGGGGAAUAUUGGACAAUGGGCGAAAGCCUGAUCCAGCCAUGCCGCGUGUGUGAAGAAGGUCUUCGGAUUGUAAAGCACUUUAAGUUGGGAGGAAGGGCAGUAAGUUAAUACCUUGCUGUUUUGACGUUACCAACAGAAUAAGCACCGG
This 473-nucleotide ribosomal RNA is filed under the name uncultured bacterium. RNAcentral's name for it is "bacterial SSU rRNA". It matches the Rfam family "Bacterial small subunit ribosomal RNA", at positions 30 to 496 of the family's 1533-position model. The record is from RNAcentral.